Molecule: ribosomal RNA, 291 nt
Filed under: Triticum aestivum (bread wheat)
Lineage: Eukaryota; Viridiplantae; Streptophyta; Magnoliopsida; Poales; Poaceae
Description: partial small subunit ribosomal RNA
Source: RNAcentral
AUGGACCAUUCCAUCCCGUACUCAUGUGGCUAUGCAUCGGAGUCAGACGACGAUGGCGUGGAUGAAGAAGUUGAUGGGGAGGAGUUCACGGCGAAGGAGGUCGAAGCUUUCAAGAAGACAUUACGGCAGGAUCAUCGGAUAACAUUGUUCCAGGAUCUUAGUCUGGUGGAUAAAGCCGUGGUUGAUGGUGGAAAGGGUAUAUUUGUUGGAGUUAGGCCAACUUCUCACCGGGAUAUGGAACACGGAAGAACGGGAUUUCUCCCGGAUCAAAGUUCGAAACCAUCUCGAUGA